GGGACAUAGCUCAGCUGGGAGAGCGCUGCGUUCGCAACGCAGAGGUCGCGGGUUCGAAUCCCGUUGUCUCC
This 71-nucleotide transfer RNA is filed under the name human gut metagenome. It matches the Rfam family "tRNA". Rfam says of the family: Transfer RNA (tRNA) molecules are approximately 80 nucleotides in length. Their secondary structure includes four short double-helical elements and three loops (D, anti-codon, and T loops). Further hydrogen bonds mediate the characteristic L-shaped molecular structure. tRNAs have two regions of fundamental functional importance: the anti-codon, which is responsible for specific mRNA codon recognition, and the 3' end, to which the tRNAs corresponding amino acid is attached (by aminoacyl-tRNA synthetases). tRNAs cope with the degeneracy of the genetic code in two manners: having more than one tRNA (with a specific anti-codon) for a particular amino acid; and 'wobble' base-pairing, i.e. permitting non-standard base-pairing at the 3rd anti-codon position. The record is from RNAcentral. RNAcentral also lists the same sequence under 3 other names.